RNAcentral lists this ribosomal RNA (497 nucleotides) under uncultured bacterium. Its description in RNAcentral is "partial 16S ribosomal RNA". It matches the Rfam family "Bacterial small subunit ribosomal RNA", at positions 28 to 507 of the family's 1533-position model. The record is from RNAcentral.
GACGAACGCUGGCGGCGUGCCUAAUACAUGCAAGUAGAACGCUGAAGAGAGGAGCUUACUCUUCUUGGAUGAGUUGCGAACGGGUGAGUAACGCGUAGGUAACCUGCCUUGUAGCGGGGGAUAACUAUUGGAAACGAUAGCUAAUACCGCAUAACAAUGGAUGACACAUGUCAUUUAUUUGAAAGGGGCAAUUGCUCCACUACAAGAUGGACCUGCGUUGUAUUAGCUAGUAGGUGAGGUAAUGGCUCACCUAGGCGACGAUACAUAGCCGACCUGAGAGGGUGAUCGGCCACACUGGGACUGAGACACGGCCCAGACUCCUACGGGAGGCAGCAGUAGGGAAUCUUCGGCAAUGGGGGCAACCCUGAACGAGCAACGCCGCGGGAGUGAAGAAGGUUUUCGGAUCGUAAAGCUCUGUUGUAAGUCAAGAACGGGUGUGAGAGUGGAAAGUUCACACUGUGACGGUAGCUUACCAGAAAGGGACGGCUAACUACGUG